CCCGCUCAGAAACUCAAAUGAAUUGACGGGGCCCGCACAAGCGGUGGAGCAUGUGGUUAAUUCGAUGAUACGCGAGGAACCUUACCUGGGCUCAAAUGUAUGUUGACGUAUUCUGAAAGGGAUACUUCUUCGGACAAUAUACAAGGUGCUGCAUGGUUGUCGUCAGCUCGUGCCGUGAGGUGUCGGGUUAAGUCCCAUAACGAGCGCAACCCCUAUCAUUAGUUGCCAUCAGGUCAAGCUGGGGACUCUAAUGAAACUGCCUACGCAAGUAGUGAGGAAGGUGGGGAUGACGUCAAAUCAGCACGGCCCUUACGUCCAGGGCUACACACGUGCUACAAUGGCCGGUACAAAGGGCAGCUACCUGGUGACAGGAUGCUAAUCUCAAAAGCCGGUCUCAGUUCGGAUCGGAGUCUGCAACCCGACUCCGUGAAGUUGGAAUCGCUAGUAAUCGCGCAUCAGCCAUGGCGCGGUGAAUACGUUCCCGGGCCUU
This 490-nucleotide ribosomal RNA is filed under the name uncultured Sphingobacteriales bacterium. RNAcentral describes it as "bacterial SSU rRNA". It matches the Rfam family "Bacterial small subunit ribosomal RNA", at positions 888 to 1382 of the family's 1533-position model. The record is from RNAcentral. Lineage: Bacteria; Pseudomonadati; Bacteroidota; Sphingobacteriia; Sphingobacteriales.